UUCCAGACUCCUACGGGAGGCAGCAGUGAGGAAUAUUGGUUAAUGGGCGGGAGCCUGAACCAGCCAAGUCGCGUGAGGGAAGAAGGUACUGAGUAUUGUAAACCUCUUUUGCCAGGGGACAAAGGCGGCCACGGGUGGCCGUAAGAGGGUACCUGGAGAAAAAGCAUCGGCUAACUCCGUGCCAGCAGCCGCGGUAAUACGGAGGAUCCGAGCGUUAUCCGGAUUCAUUGGGUUUAAAGGGUGCGUAGGUUGUUUUAUAAGUUAGCGGUGAAAUACCGAUGCUCAACAUCGGGGCUGCCGCUAAUACUGUAGGACUAGAGAUCGGAUGCAGCAGGCGGAAUGUGUAGUGUAGCGGUGAAAUGCAUAGAUAUUACACAGAACACCGAUUGCGAAGGCAGCUUGCUAGGCCGGAUCUGACACUGAUGCACGAAAGCGUGGGGAUCGAACAGGAUUAGAUACCCGUGUA
Molecule: ribosomal RNA, 466 nt
Filed under: uncultured bacterium
Lineage: Bacteria
Description: bacterial SSU rRNA
Rfam family: Bacterial small subunit ribosomal RNA
Source: RNAcentral